This 790-nucleotide ribosomal RNA is filed under the name Chaenothecopsis viridialba. RNAcentral describes it as "SSU rRNA". It matches the Rfam family "Bacterial small subunit ribosomal RNA", at positions 350 to 1215 of the family's 1533-position model. Lineage: Eukaryota; Fungi; Ascomycota; Eurotiomycetes; Mycocaliciales; Mycocaliciaceae. The record is from RNAcentral.
AGCAGUGAGGAAUAUUGGUCAAUAGCCUAACGGCUGAACCAGCAAUUUGGGGGAAUGUAUAGUCUAAUCUAAUUGUUAUUUAAUUUAUAAAAUACAAUAUCGACUAUGUCGAAUAAAGUUCUAGAUAGAAUAAUGAUAAUGACAAUUUUUUAUCUAUAUGUCUUGACCAAGUCACGUGCCAGCAGUCGCGGCAAUACGUGGAAGACUAGUGUUAUUCAUAUUUAUUAGGUUUAAAGGGUACCUAGACGGUAUAUUUAGCCCAAUAAAGGGGUACAAGUAUACUAGAGUUUUAUGUGAGAAGGGGAGAACUUUUGAAGUAGAGAUUGAAUUCUGUGAUAACAAGAGGACUGGUAUAGGCGAAGGCAACCUUCUAUGUAAAAACUGACGUUGAGGGACGAAGGCUUGGGUAGCGAUUAGGAUUAGAUACCCUGGUAGUCCAAGCAGAAAAAUAUGAAUGUCAUAGACUAGAUUGUAUUUAGUCUAUAAAUGAAAGUGUAAGCAUUCCACCUCAAGAGUAACGUGGCAACACAGGAACUGAAAUCAUUAGACCGUCUCUGAAACCAGUAGUGAAGUAUGUUAUUUAAUUCGAUGAUCCGCGAAAAACCUUACCACAAUUUGAAUAUUUUACAAGCGCUGCACGGCUGUCUCCAGUUAAUGUCGUGAGAUUAUGGUUAGUUCCAUUAAUUAACGUAAACCCUUGCUUUAUUUAUUUUUAUAAAGUAGUUCUCCUAAACUUUGGGAAAGAUAAAAGGGACUAAGACAAGUCAUCAUGGCCUUAAUAUUGUGGGCU